Molecule: ribosomal RNA, 338 nt
Filed under: uncultured Pseudomonadota bacterium
Lineage: Bacteria; Pseudomonadati; Pseudomonadota
Description: bacterial SSU rRNA
Rfam family: Bacterial small subunit ribosomal RNA
Source: RNAcentral
AACGAACGCUGGCGGCGUGCCUAACACAUGCAAGUCGAAUGCGAGUUUCCGCUUCGGUGGAGAGGAGCAUGGCAGACGGGUGAGGAACCCGUAUCUAACCUACCACGGGAUGGGGGGAUAGUCCUGCGAAAGCGGGGGUAAUACCGCAUACGCUCGUUCGGGGCAACCUGAGCGAGGAAAGCUGGCCUCUACAUUAUGCUGGCGUCCGGUGAGGGGGAUGCGUCCUAUUAGUUAGUUGGUGGGGUAAUGGCUCACCAAGACGACGAUGGGUAGCUGGUCUGAGAGGAUGAUCAGCCACACUGGGACUGCGACACGGCCCAGACUCCUACGGGUGGCAG